Molecule: transfer RNA, 74 nt
Filed under: Moraxella bovis
Lineage: Bacteria; Pseudomonadati; Pseudomonadota; Gammaproteobacteria; Moraxellales; Moraxellaceae
Description: tRNA-Ile
Rfam family: tRNA
About the family: Transfer RNA (tRNA) molecules are approximately 80 nucleotides in length. Their secondary structure includes four short double-helical elements and three loops (D, anti-codon, and T loops).
Source: RNAcentral
AGUUCCGUAGUUCAAUGGUAGAACACCGCCUUGAUAAGGCGGAGUACAAGGUUCAAAUCCUCGUGGAACUACCA